GACGAACGCUGGCGGCGGGCUUAACACAUGCAAGUCGAACGGUGAAGCUAGUGCUUGCACGCGUGGAUGAGUGGCGAACGGGUGAGUAACACGUGAGGAACCUGCCCAUCACUCUGGGAUAAGCACUGGUAACGGUGUCUAAUACUGGAUACGAGCAACCCUUGCAAGGGGUGGUGGUGGAAAGAUUUAUCGGUGAUGUAUGGACUCGCGGCCUAUCAGCUUGUUGGCGGGGUAAUGGACCACCAAGGCUACGACGGGUAGCGGGCCUGAGAGGGUGACCUGCCACACUGGGACUGAGACGCGGCACAGACCCCUCUGCGACGCAGCAGCGCGGAAUAUUGCACUAUGCGCGAAAGGCUGCUGCAGCGAAGCCGCGUGAGGGAUGACGGCCUUCGGGUUGUAAACCUAUUUCAGCAGGGAAGAAGCGAAAGUGACGGUACCUGCAGAAGAAGCCCCGGCUAACUACGUG
RNAcentral lists this ribosomal RNA (469 nucleotides) under uncultured bacterium. RNAcentral describes it as "partial 16S ribosomal RNA". It matches the Rfam family "Bacterial small subunit ribosomal RNA", at positions 28 to 507 of the family's 1533-position model. The record is from RNAcentral.